AUAUCACGUAGAAACACCAAUUUCCAUAUGGUCACUGAAGUUAAGCAACAUUGAGCCUGGUCAGUACCUUGAUGGGUGACCACUAAGGAAUACCAGUUGCU
Acanthosepion pharaonis is the source of this 101-nucleotide non-coding RNA. NCBI's taxonomy places the organism in Eukaryota, Metazoa, Mollusca, Cephalopoda, Sepiida, Sepiidae. The record is from the annotation of a GenBank genome assembly.